UGGUCUGAACAGAGCCCUUACCAAAAGAUGUCUUACCCAUUAUGAUUGCACGCUUAUGAUCCUGCAAAGCACCAGCAACAAUUUCAGAUGCUGAAGCGGAGCCUUCAUUAAUUAAUACUACAAUAGGUGCACCAUUAAGAAUAUCAGGUCCCUCUAUAGGAAAUUUCAAAUUGGAACUUGGUAUUCUUCCUUCGGUAUAAACCACUAAUCCUUCAUUAUCAAGAAAAACGUUGGAUACAUCGACAGCUCCAUCCAAUAUUCCACCUGGAUUGUUUC
This 276-nucleotide non-coding RNA is filed under the name marine eukaryotic metagenome. The record is from RNAcentral.